AACGAACGCUGGCGGCAGGCCUAACACAUGCAAGUCGAGCGCCCUUUCGGGGGCGCGGCGGACGGGUGAGUAACGCGUGGGAAUAUGCCCUUCUCUACGGAAUAGCCUCGGGAAACUGAGAGUAAUACCGUAUACGCCCUGUGGGGGAAAGAUUUAUCGGGGAAGGAUUAGCCCGCGUUGGAUUAGGUAGUUGGUGGGGUAAUGGCCUACCAAGCCGACGAUCCAUAGCUGGUUUGAGAGGAUGAUCAGCCACACUGGGACUGAGACACGGCCCAGACUCCUACGGGAGGCAGCAGUGGGGAAUCUUAGACAAUGGGGGCAACCCUGAUCUAGCCAUGCCGCGUGAGUGAUGAAGGCCUUAGGGUUGUAAAGCUCUUUCAGCUGGGAAGAUAAUGACGGUACCAGCAGAAGAAGCCCCGGCUAACUCCGUG
This 431-nucleotide ribosomal RNA is filed under the name uncultured bacterium. Its description in RNAcentral is "partial 16S ribosomal RNA". It matches the Rfam family "Bacterial small subunit ribosomal RNA", at positions 29 to 507 of the family's 1533-position model. The record is from RNAcentral.